CUACGGGUUGCUGCAGUGAGGAAUAUUGCACAAUGGGGGGAACCCUGAUGCAGCAAUGCCGCGUGGAGGAUGAGGCAUUUCGGUGUGUAAACUCCUUUUAUAUGUCAAGAAAAUGACGGUAGCAUAUGAAUAAGCACCGGCUAACUCCGUGCCAGCAGCCGCGGUAAUACGGAGGGUGCAAGCGUUACUCGGAAUCACUGGGCGUAAAGGACGCGUAGGCGGGUUGGAAAGUCAGGUGUGAAAUCCUACAGCUUAACUGUAGAACUGCACUUGAAACUUCUAAUCUAGAGUAUGGGAGGGGGAGAUGGAAUUAGUGGUGUAGGGGUAAGAUCCGUAGAUAUCACUAGGAAUACCUAAAGCGAAGGCGAUCUCCUGGAACAUUACUGACGCUAAGGCGUGAAAGCGUGGGGAGCAAACAGGAUUAGAUACCCGAGUAGUC
RNAcentral lists this ribosomal RNA (439 nucleotides) under uncultured bacterium. RNAcentral's name for it is "partial 16S ribosomal RNA". It matches the Rfam family "Bacterial small subunit ribosomal RNA", at positions 339 to 795 of the family's 1533-position model. The record is from RNAcentral.